This 425-nucleotide ribosomal RNA is filed under the name uncultured bacterium. RNAcentral describes it as "bacterial SSU rRNA". It matches the Rfam family "Bacterial small subunit ribosomal RNA", at positions 917 to 1341 of the family's 1533-position model. The record is from RNAcentral.
GGGCCCGCACAAGCGGUGGAGCAUGUGGUUUAAUUCGACGCAACGCGAAGAACCUUACCUACUCUUGACAUCUACAGAAGACUGCAGAGAUGCGGUUGUGCCUUCGGGAACUGUAAGACAGGUGCUGCAUGGCUGUCGUCAGCUCGUGUUGUGAAAUGUUGGGUUAAGUCCCGCAACGAGCGCAACCCUUAUCCUUAGUUGCCAGCACGUUAUGGUGGGAACUCUAGGGAGACUGCCGGUGAUAAACCGGAGGAAGGUGGGGACGACGUCAAGUCAUCAUGGCCCUUACGAGUAGGGCUACACACGUGCUACAAUGGUAUGUACAGAGGGAGGCAAGCCUGCGAGGGUGAGCGGAUCUCUUAAAGCAUAUCGUAGUCCGGAUCGCAGUCUGCAACUCGACUGCGUGAAGUCGGAAUCGCUAGUAA